GACAGGGGAUGCAAGCGUUAUCCGGAAUGAUUGGGCGUAAAGCGUCUGUAGGUGGCUUUUUAAGUCUGCCGUCAAAUCCCAGGGCUCAACCCUGGCCAGGCGGUGGAGACUACUAAGCUGGAGUACGGUAGGGGCAGAGGGAAUUUCCGGUGGAGCGGUGAAAUGCGUAGAUAUCGGAAAGAACACCAAGGGCGAAGGCAGCUUACUAUGGUAUGAUUGACGCUGAGGCACGAAAGCGUGGGGAUCAAACAGG
Molecule: ribosomal RNA, 253 nt
Filed under: uncultured prokaryote
Description: partial 16S ribosomal RNA
Rfam family: Bacterial small subunit ribosomal RNA
Source: RNAcentral